Non-coding RNA from Macaca mulatta (Rhesus monkey), 1922 nucleotides. Lineage: Eukaryota; Metazoa; Chordata; Mammalia; Primates; Cercopithecidae. The record is from RefSeq and is a predicted model, not a curated record.
CUGUGGGACAUGCAGAUGGCAAAGCAGGAUAAACGCUAUGAAGACCCGUCCUGACUGUUAGGAAGAAGACAUCCUGCAAUUCAGAUGGAAGGAAUAAUGUGAAGCCACUAAAUGUUAAACAAAUAACUAAAAUAAACCCAGUUGUGGGUUAAGGACCUGAGUAGAUGAUGAUCUGAUUGAGAUAGAGGAAUCCAGGAAAGGAAGGAGAGGGAGAUGCACAGAUGCUCAAAGGUUUGGUUCCUCCCUGUGGAACAUCCAAGAUGGUAAGACACUUGGUUAGCAGCGCUGUGCUGGGGCGUUGAGGGUCUCAAGCUCAGGGAAGAGGGUUGGAACAGAGAUACUUACUUGUGAGAUGUUAGCAUGACUGGAUCCUCGAUUUAGUCAUCUCUGCCAAGUUCCUUUUACCAGGUAAAAAACAUAUUUGCAGGUUCUUUGGAUUAGGAAACAGAGAGUAUCAUGACCAAUGUUUUGCAAAUCAAUUUGAAAUCUUAGAUGGCAUGAGCAGAUUCCUUGAAAAAUACCACUUUCCAGAACUAAAACAAUAAGUACAAAAUCUUUAUAAUUCCAUUUUUAUGGAUGGAAUUGAACCUAUAAUUUGAAACAUUCUCAGUAAGAAAAGUCAAGUCCGGAGGACCGAAUCAUUCAAUCACUAAACACACUGGAGGGAGAGCUGGCACUAACCGUCCAUGAACUCAACCAGAAAAUGGCAAAGGCAGGAACACUUCAGACUCUCUGCACGAGGCCAGCGCAAUCUUAAUAACAGAACUUCACAAAGACAUUGUAAGAUAGGAAAAUGAGAGGCAGAUUGUUCUCAUAAGCAUAGAUACAAAACUCCUAGACAAAAUAUUAACAAACCAAAUCUGUGGCAUAUAAAAAGAAUUAUACAUUACAACCAAGUUGGGUUUAUUCUAUAAAUGUGUGCUAAGAUUUAAAAUUCAAACAAUUGUGAUUUAUUAUAUUACCAUUAAACGUCACAGGAGCAUCUCGGUAGGCACAAAAUGAGCACUUGGUAUUUUCAACACCUGUUCAAAAUAAAAUUGGUAGCAAACUACGGAGAGAAGUUUCGUUUAUCCGAUAAAGGGUAUCUCAAGAAAACCCUACAGAGGUUGUCAUACUUGAUAAUAAAACUUCAAAAGCUUACUUUGUUUGUUGUUGGAAAGACCACAGCGUCUACUACAACUUCUACACGAUAGUACAUGGGAGGUUCUCUUCACUGCAAUAAGGCAAACAAAGGAAAAGUCAUGAGAAUUGGAAAGACAAAGUAAAACUGUGAUUUUGUAUAGUCAGCAUGAUUGCAUGGAUAGAAAAUGUAUUCGGAUAUACAGAUCAACUCUUAGAAUAAGUCGGUGAGUUUAACCGCGUUACUGAUGAGAGGCUAAUGUGAGAAAUCGAGUGUGUUUCCAUAUACUUUAAUGAACUGUUUAAAAAUUUUAUUUAAAGUGAAAACAUUUACAGUAGCAGAUAAAAUAAAGUUUCUAGGAAUAAAAGCAAUGUGUGCAAGAGUCUUUUACACAGAAAACUAAACAUUACUGAGAGAUAUUCAAGAAGUCUUAAGAAAAUAAACAGUAUACAUUAUUGAAGGAUUCUAAGAAUCAAUAUUGUAAUUAAGUUUAUUCUCCCAAAUUGAUUUAAAAAUUCAGUGUAACUCCUCUCAUAAUCUCAGUCCUUCUGUUUUACAAAUUGAAAAGCUGAUCCUAAAAUGUAUAUGAAAACAAAAAGGAUCAAAAAUAAUGAAGACAAACUGAGAAUAUAAAAAAAGGUUAGAGGUCUUUUACUCUCAGAUCUCAAACCAUCUUAAAGCUGCAGCAAUGAAAAUGGCAUAGUGCUGAUUGGUGUGAGAACAGACAAAUAAGUCAGUGUCAUAGAAUAGAGUGCAGAAGAAAACCCACAUUUACUAUUCACAUGAUUUGUGAGGAAAGAAA